RNAcentral lists this ribosomal RNA (579 nucleotides) under uncultured fungus. RNAcentral describes it as "eukaryotic LSU rRNA". The stretch from base 221 to 374 matches the Rfam family "5.8S ribosomal RNA". The record is from RNAcentral. Lineage: Eukaryota; Fungi.
CGUAACAAGGUCUCCGUAGGUGAACCUGCGGAGGGAUCAUUACACAAAUAUGAAGCCGGACUGGGAUAGGGCCUCGCUGCCUUGCCCGUCUGGCGCCAUAUUCACCCAUGUCUUUUUGCGUACUACUUGUUUCCUUGGCGGGUCCGCCCGCCAAUUGGACCUUAUUCAAACCUUUUUUUCAGUUGCAAUCAGCGUCAGCAAAACAAAUGUAAUCAAUUACAACUUUCAACAACGGAUCUCUUGGUUCUGGCAUCGAUGAAGAACGCAGCGAAAUGCGAUAAGUAGUGUGAAUUGCAGAAUUCAGUGAAUCAUCGAAUCUUUGAACGCACAUUGCGCCCUUUGGUAUUCCAAAGGGCAUGCCUGUUCGAGCGUCAUUUGUACCCUCAAGCUUUGCUUGGUGUUGGGCGUCUUGUCUCACUCCCGAGACUCGCCUUAAAAUCAUUGGCAGCCGGCCUACUGGUUUCGGAGCGCAGCACAUUAUUUGCGCUCUUGUCCAGCCGCGGUCGCGCGUCCAUGAAGCUUCUUUCAACCUUUUGACCUCGGAUCAGGUAGGGAUACCCGCUGAACUUAAGCAUAUCA